GACGUAGGAUGCAAGCGUUGUCCGGAAUUAUUGGGCGUAAAGAGUUCGUAGGCGGUUUAUCAAGUCUGGUGUCAAAGCCCGAGGCUCAACCUCGGAUCGGCACUGGAUACUGGUAGACUUGAGUGCAGUAGAGGCAAGGGGAAUUCCCAGUGUAGCGGUGGAAUGCGUAGAUAUUGGGAGGAACCCCAGUGGCGUAAGCGCCUUGCUGGGCUGUUACUGACGCUGAGGAACGAAAGCCAGGGGAGCUCAUGGG
RNAcentral lists this ribosomal RNA (253 nucleotides) under uncultured bacterium. RNAcentral's name for it is "partial 16S ribosomal RNA". It matches the Rfam family "Bacterial small subunit ribosomal RNA", at positions 524 to 776 of the family's 1533-position model. The record is from RNAcentral.